This 525-nucleotide ribosomal RNA is filed under the name uncultured bacterium. RNAcentral's name for it is "bacterial SSU rRNA". It matches the Rfam family "Bacterial small subunit ribosomal RNA", at positions 8 to 521 of the family's 1533-position model. The record is from RNAcentral.
AGAGUUUGAUCCUGGCUCAGGAUGAACGCUAGCGGCAGGCUUAACACAUGCAAGUCGAGGGGCAGCGGGGAGGAAGCUUGCUUUCUCCGCCGGCGACCGGCGCACGGGUGAGUAACACGUAUGCAACCUGCCCCUGUCAGGGGGACAACCCGCCGAAAGGCGGGCUAAACCCGCGUACAUGCCACCGGGGCAUCCCGGAGGCAGGAAAGGCUUCGGCCGGACAGGGAUGGGCAUGCGGCGCAUUAGGCAGUAGGCGGGGUAACGGCCCACCUAACCGACGAUGCGUAGGGGUUCUGAGAGGAAGGUCCCCCACACUGGUACUGAGACACGGACCAGACUCCUACGGGAGGCAGCAGUGAGGAAUAUUGGUCAAUGGUCGGGAGACUGAACCAGCCAAGCCGCGUGAGGGAGGAAGGUACAGAGUAUCGUAAACCUCUUUUGUCAGGGAACAAAGGCGGGGACGUGUCCCCGGAUGAGUGUACCUGAAGAAAAAGCAUCGGCUAACUCCGUGCCAGCAGCCGCGGU